Equus quagga is the source of this 1799-nucleotide long non-coding RNA. RefSeq lists it as uncharacterized. Lineage: Eukaryota; Metazoa; Chordata; Mammalia; Perissodactyla; Equidae. The transcript has 5 exons. The record is from RefSeq and is a predicted model, not a curated record.
CUUACUUUUCAAAUUCCUUAUUCUAACUCUGUGCGGCGUAGACGCUUACUCCUCACAGGGAUUCUUGAGGCGCACGUCUGGACUUGUUAUUUCUCUGAAUCUUAGAGUCUUAGAUCCGAAAACGGCCAGUUCUGAGGGUGAGGACCGCAACUGUCAGUGUUUCUUCUGCUGAAUACCCAGUGCCCAGCUUAGGGCCCAGAUUAUUUCUUCACUUUUUCUUCCUGUUUCCUCGACUCUUGGUUUACGCUGGAGGAAUGCGAACAGUAGAGAGAGAAAAUUGGUCCCUGGAUUGAUGCCUUUGAUGGAAUCAAAUUGAAGAAGGAAGAGAAGGCCGUGGGAAGGUAAAGCAGAGAUUUGUAGAUGUUGACCUCGAAAACUGGAGAGAUGUGGCCACAAGCCAAGCUUCUCUGCAGCGUGCUUAUUUCAUGUUUGGAACCCUAAUUAUGGAGAUCUGAGAAGAGAUUCUGCAGAAAGCGCCAGCGCCCUGUCCCACAACUGCCAGACACAUCCCACCAGCGCCACGUGCCCUCCACUCGCUGCGCGCUUUUCGGCUUUUGAGCUCAGCUGCAUCCCACGUGUCUGUGGCUUGGAGUGGGUGCCCUCUCUGCUCUGAGCAGAUUGUUAUGCACACAUCGUGUCUCUCAUCCUCUAGACCUUAGCUUGGAAGUAGUUUCCUCCUAGAAGCCUUCCCUGAUCUCCCCCUCUCCCUCCUACCAGCUCCAGAGUUAGAGUUAGUGAGGGUAUGGAGAGGAUAUUCGGGGAAGAGCACAGAGGGUCCCUGCUCUCAUGACGUAGAGUCUAGCGGGGUUCAUAAGCAUUAGACAAGUAAUCGCCCAAAUAUGGUACAAUCUCUACGAAAAAAGAUAGUUUUCUAUGUGUAGACUUUGAAUGAAGUUCCAGAUUUAAGAGAAUAAAGAAGUUAGAGAAUAACAUGUCUUGCACGAUGGGUGGAAGGAUACACAUCAAAUUAUUCCCAGUGGUUACUGUUGGGAGACAAUUUUCCCCGAUUAUCUCGGUUUCUGGGUGUAUUGUGAGUCUCUUAACUGUUUUUACUCACCGACAACCAAGUCUCUGAUUCUAUGCAGACACCAACUGGGUGUUCAACAAUUCAAUUCAAUUCUGACACUAACUACCCAGAAUUAGUGCAGAUUCCAAAGGUUAAGGGCUCAGUCCCACAAGACUGUCCCCCACUUCAGAUGCCAUUUGCCAGUCCCAGGCCUCCUGUACUUCUGACUGACCAGCUAUAAACCAAGGGACCCCACAACCCCAUCUUCAGCUUGGAUAAUUUGCUAGAAUGGCUCACAGAACUCAGGAACACACUUGACUUUCAUUUACUGGUGUAUUAUAAACAGAUAUAACUCCAUUUGGCACACAGCCAAAUGGAAGAGCUGCACAGGGCAAGGAAUGGCAUGAGGGGAGCUACAUGGAACUUCCAUGCCCUCUCCUGGUGUGCCACUCUUCCAACACCUCCAUACGUUCGUUCAUCAGCUCUGAAACUCUCCUAAUUCUGUCAUUUAGAGGUUUUUAUGAAGGUUUCAUCAUGUAGGCAUGACAGAUUAUUAACUCAAUCUCCAGCCCCUCUCCCCUCCUGGGGAGAUUAAGGGUGGGGUGUGGUUGAAAGUUCUAGGCUUCUAAUCAUGGCUUUGUCUUUUUGAUGACCAGCCCCUAUUCUGAAACUAUCUAGGGACCCACCAAGAAUGGCCUCAUUAGAACAAAAGCGGCUCCUAGUACCCAGAAAAUCUCAAGGGAUUUAGGAGCUGUGUCAGGAACUGGGCACAAAGAUCAAAUAUAUAGUCCUU